CUGUUUUCAUACAGCUCGGCACGCCAUAAGUCUCUUUCUUUGAGACCGGGAAUAGUAGAUUGAAAAUGUUCAUUUCAAUCUCAUCGUCAAGAUGGAGGACACAACAUGGGAGCAGAGACUACAAGCCCUAACCCACGUCCUAACCAGCACCACAACACCACCACCUCUCUACUCUCAAUUAUUAAUCUCCAGACAAAUUCCGUGCUACCUCAACUGGGACUACCCACCGAUCCUCUGCACCAAAGACCCCAGGAUCUUCCCUUCUCUCCAUCUGAGGUGGGGAUUCUCUCUCUUUUUCAAAAGGGUCUCCAGAUUAGGGAUUCCUGAGACUUCUUGGAGGUCCAGGUGCCCAUACCAACAACCCCCACCGCUGAUUCUUGCAAAAGGAGUAGAGGAAGCACAGUGGGGUGAUGAGCAAAAAAGAGUAUAUUUUAGGAUGAGGAUGAGAAGAAAAAGACUUGGCAGUAAUAUUCAUCCUUCUAUUCCUAUUUUAGUUCCCAAUCUGUUACUGUUUUCACUUCUGCUCUGGAACCCUCUUCCUAAUCUUGAUUCUUAAGAAAUAUUGUGGGUUUGUAACAUGUGCAUGUAAUUAAAAUUGUAACAAUUUUCCAUCAUAACCAAACCAGAAUAACCAUG
This 636-nucleotide unclassified non-coding RNA is filed under the name Hevea brasiliensis (rubber tree). Lineage: Eukaryota; Viridiplantae; Streptophyta; Magnoliopsida; Malpighiales; Euphorbiaceae. The record is from RNAcentral.